CCUACGGGGGGCAGCAGUGGGGAAUAUUGGACAAUGGGGGGAACCCUGAUCCAGCCAUGCCGCGUGUGUGAAGAAGGCCCUCGGGUUGUAAAGCACUUUCAGUGAGGAAGAACGCCUGGUGGUUAAUACCCAUCAGGAAAGACAUCACUCACAGAAGAAGCACCGGCUAACUCCGUGCCAGCAGCCGCGGUAAUACGGAGGGUGCGAGCGUUAAUCGGAAUUACUGGGCGUAAAGCGCGCGUAGGUGGCUUGAUAAGCCGGUUGUGAAAGCCCCGGGCUCAACCUGGGAACGGCAUCCGGAACUGUCAAGCUAGAGUGCAGGAGAGGAAGGUAGAAUUCCCGGUGUAGCGGUGAAAUGCGUAGAGCUCGGGAGGAAUACCAGUGGCGAAGGCGGCCUUCUGGACUGACACUGACACUGAGGUGCGAAAGCGUGGGUAGCAAACAGGAUUAGCUACCCUUGUAGUC
RNAcentral lists this ribosomal RNA (465 nucleotides) under Vreelandella stevensii. RNAcentral's name for it is "partial 16S ribosomal RNA". It matches the Rfam family "Bacterial small subunit ribosomal RNA", at positions 338 to 795 of the family's 1533-position model. The record is from RNAcentral. Lineage: Bacteria; Pseudomonadati; Pseudomonadota; Gammaproteobacteria; Oceanospirillales; Halomonadaceae.